RNAcentral lists this ribosomal RNA (634 nucleotides) under uncultured Lachnospiraceae bacterium. Its description in RNAcentral is "bacterial SSU rRNA". It matches the Rfam family "Bacterial small subunit ribosomal RNA", at positions 74 to 716 of the family's 1533-position model. The record is from RNAcentral. Lineage: Bacteria; Bacillati; Bacillota; Clostridia; Lachnospirales; Lachnospiraceae.
UUUCCUUCGGGACUGAUUAUUUUGUGACUGAGUGGCGGACGGGUGAGUAACGCGUGGGUAACCUGCCUUGUACAGGGGGAUAACAGUUGGAAACGGCUGCUAAUACCGCAUAAGCGCACGGCAUCGCAUGAUGCAGUGUGAAAAACUCCGGUGGUAUAAGAUGGACCCGCGUUGGAUUAGCUAGUUGGUGAGGUAACGGCCCACCAAGGCGACGAUCCAUAGCCGACCUGAGAGGGUGACCGGCCACAUUGGGACUGAGACACGGCCCAAACUCCUACGGGAGGCAGCAGUGGGGAAUAUUGCACAAUGGGCGAAAGCCUGAUGCAGCGACGCCGCGUGAGCGAAGAAGUAUUUCGGUAUGUAAAGCUCUAUCAGCAGGGAAGAUAAUGACGGUACCUGACUAAGAAGCACCGGCUAAAUACGUGCCAGCAGCCGCGGUAAUACGUAUGGUGCAGGCGUUAUCCGGAUUUACUGGGUGUAAAGGGAGCGCAGGCAGUGCGGCAAGUCUGAUGUGAAAGCCCGGGGCUCAACCCCGGUACUGCAUUGGAAACUGUCGUACUAGAGUGUCGGAGGGGUAAGCGGAAUUCCUAGUGUAGCGGUGAAAUGCGUAGAUAUUAGGAGGAACACCAGUGGC